AUUUAUUUGGUUGGCCUCUUCCACAGAUGCUAUUUAUCUGCCGGGGUCUGGCACAAAAUAAGCCCUCAAAAGAUAUAUAUAUGCAUUUGCUGUUUCUUAGAAGUUGGGAGAAAAACCAGAGCACAGUGAGUACAGUAAGCUUUCUUUACACAUUUAAUGCUCAGUGGUUUUGGGAUUGAGUUGAGUAAUUUUUGUUUUUGUUUUUUUUCCCUAAGCUAUGGUUGUUGCUGUCAAGGACCCUGCAAUUUUCUUAAACUUUUCAAAGUAUUGGAAGAAAAAAAAAAAAAAGAAAGGUAUUAAUGCAUUUAUUUUCUGUUCUAGAUUUGGCUAAGGGCAAUAUGUCCUAACUCUUGGGGUUUAUUCUGUUUCUAUUAAUAAAUUGUCAAUAGGGUCC
Molecule: long non-coding RNA, 394 nt
Filed under: Dasypus novemcinctus (nine-banded armadillo)
Lineage: Eukaryota; Metazoa; Chordata; Mammalia; Cingulata; Dasypodidae
Description: lncRNA (ENSDNOG00000051397.1)
Source: RNAcentral